Molecule: ribosomal RNA, 253 nt
Filed under: uncultured bacterium
Lineage: Bacteria
Description: partial 16S ribosomal RNA
Rfam family: Bacterial small subunit ribosomal RNA
Source: RNAcentral
UACAGAGACUGCAAGCGUUAUUCGGAUUCACUGGGCGUAAAGUGUGCGCAGGUGGCUGAGCAAGUCGAGUGUGAAAUCCCCGGGCUUAACUUGGGAAUUGCGCUCGAAACUACUUGGCUCGAGUGUGGCAGAGGAAGGUGGAAUUCCAGGUGUAGCGGUGAAAUGCGUAGAGAUCUGGAGGAACACCGAUGGCGAAGGCAGCCUUCUGGGCCAACACUGACGCUCAUGCACGAAAGCGUGGGGAGCAAACAGG